Molecule: ribosomal RNA, 253 nt
Filed under: uncultured bacterium
Lineage: Bacteria
Description: partial 16S ribosomal RNA
Rfam family: Bacterial small subunit ribosomal RNA
Source: RNAcentral
UACAGAGGGGGCAAGCGUUGUUCGGAAUUACUGGGCGUAAAGGGCGCGUAGGCGGCCUGUUAAGUCGAACGUGAAAUCCCGGGGCUCAACCCGGGAACUGCGUCCGAUACUGGCAGGCUUGAAUCCGGGAGAGGGAUGCGGAAUUCCAGGUGUAGCGGUGAAAUGCGUAGAUAUCUGGAGGAACACCGGUGGCGAAGGCGGCAUCCUGGACCGGCAUUGACGCUGAGGCGCGAAAGCCAGGGGAGCAAACGGG